Molecule: ribosomal RNA, 465 nt
Filed under: Vreelandella stevensii
Lineage: Bacteria; Pseudomonadati; Pseudomonadota; Gammaproteobacteria; Oceanospirillales; Halomonadaceae
Description: partial 16S ribosomal RNA
Rfam family: Bacterial small subunit ribosomal RNA
Source: RNAcentral
CCUACGGGUGGCAGCAGUGGGGAAUAUUGGACAAUGGGCGAAAGCCUGAUCCAGCCAUGCCGCGUGUGUGAAGAAGGCCUUCGGGUUGUAAAGCACUUUCAGUGGGGAAGAAAGCCUUGGGGCUAAUACCCUCGAGGAAGGACAUCACCCACAGAAGAAGCACCGGCUAACUCCGUGCCAGCAGCCGCGGUAAUACGGAGGGUGCGAGCGUUAAUCGGAAUUACUGGGCGUAAAGCGCGCGUAGGCGGUCUGAUAAGCCGGUUGUGAAAGCCCCGGGCUCAACCUGGGAACGGCAUCCGGAACUGUCAGGCUAGAGUGCAGGAGAGGAAGGUAGAAUUCCCGGUGUAGCGGUGAAAUGCGUAGAGAUCGGGAGGAAUACCAGUGGCGAAGGCGGCCUUCUGGACUGACACUGACGCUGAGGUGCGAAAGCGUGGGUAGCAAACAGGAUUAGAUCCCCCUGUCGUC